UGGGGCGUGGUGUAAUGGCAACACGUCGGUCUCUGGAACCGAAUAGUCUAGGUUCGAAUCCUAGCGCCCCAGCCA
This 75-nucleotide transfer RNA is filed under the name Coriobacteriia bacterium. RNAcentral's name for it is "tRNA-Gln". It matches the Rfam family "tRNA". Rfam says of the family: Transfer RNA (tRNA) molecules are approximately 80 nucleotides in length. Their secondary structure includes four short double-helical elements and three loops (D, anti-codon, and T loops). Lineage: Bacteria; Bacillati; Actinomycetota; Coriobacteriia. The record is from RNAcentral. RNAcentral also lists the same sequence under 1 other name.